Molecule: unclassified non-coding RNA, 329 nt
Filed under: soil metagenome
Description: partial contains 5.8S ribosomal RNA, internal transcribed spacer 2, and large subunit ribosomal RNA
Rfam family: 5.8S ribosomal RNA (bases 1-120)
Source: RNAcentral
GAUGAAGAACGUAGCGAAAUGCGAUAAGUAAUGUGAAUUGCAGAAUACAGUGAAUCAUCGAAUCUUUGAACGCACAUUGCGCCCCCUGGCAUUCCGGGGGGCAUGCCUGUUCGAGCGUCAUUACAACCCUCAAGCUCUGCUUGGUAUUGGGCUCUGCCGGUCCCGGCAGGCCUUAAAAUCAGUGGCGGCGCCACUCGGCUUCAAGCGUAGUAAUUCUUCUCGCUUCGGAGACCCGGGUGCGUGCUAGCCAGCAACCCCCAACUUUCUCAGGUUGACCUCGGAUCAGGUAGGGAUACCCGCUGAACUUAAGCAUAUCAAUAAGCGGAGGA